Molecule: long non-coding RNA, 864 nt
Filed under: Homo sapiens (human)
Lineage: Eukaryota; Metazoa; Chordata; Mammalia; Primates; Hominidae
Description: LANCL1 antisense RNA 1
Source: RNAcentral
AAACAGCACAAAGGGCACUCUUAUGCUGCUGUAAACCAGUGCCAGGAUUUUUAAAAUGUGAGACACCUGUUACCCUGUGCCCAGAUUUCAUAUUGUUCAAACACACAUGCUCUACAUACAAUUUGUGCAGUUAAUGCAAUCAUCACAAGGUCCUAGGCCGACCUACAGCCUCAGCUUACGAAGAUGACAAGAUUAAGAGAUUAAAGUAAAGACAGGCAUAAGAAAUCAAAAGAGUAUUGAUUAAGGAAGUGUUUAUGUUCUUCUGCCAUGGCUUCAGCCGGUCCCUCCAUUCAAGGUCCCUGACUUCCUGCAACAGGGGGCAAAGGACUCUUUGUCUUCAAAUUUCCCUCCACCUUGCUCAUCAUCAAGAGAGUGUGAAGAGGAGGAGAAAGGCUGAAGAGGAGGAGAAAGGCUAAGAUCUUUUCCAAUGCAAAAUUAGGAAAAAAUAUACUACAGAUUUAUGAAAAAAUAAGAAGUGAAAGUAUUCUCUGACUGCAAGUAUGACCACCUGUCUUUCUAUAUCAGGUUGAUAAUUUCUAACAUGUUCCUUUGUAAUUGUUUCUCAAUUUUGUGCUGAAUGUUGACCAUGUGCAUUUCCAUUUCUUCAACAAAAUCACAUUUGUCUUUAGAGCACUGUUGUUACUGUGCACAGCACUCUCCCCAUGCCUGAACUGUCAACAAUCCACUGAGUAGGACAUAUGCCCAGCUGUCUGACUAAAGCUGAGCAUUGUGGGCCGUGGCUUUCAAAUACUCCAGUGCUUUCACAGAUGAUCUGGGGAGGAAACUAGUGACUCCACACCUUUAAUUUAAUAAUAUUGCCCCAAACAAAUGAGUAAAACAGAGAAUAAAGAGGGCAAAUAAGUA